UGAGUAAUCUGCCCUCCACUUUGGGAUAGCCACCGGAAACGGUGAUUAAUACCGGAUAUGACCUCGCAUCGCAUGGUGUGUGGUGGAAAGUUUUUCGGUGGGGGAUGUGCUCGCGGCCUAUCAGCUUGAUGGGUGGGGUAGUGGCCUACCAUGGCUUCGACGGGUAGCCGGCCUGAGAGGGUGACCGGCCACACUGGGACUGAGACACGGCCCAGACUCCGUACGGGA
RNAcentral lists this ribosomal RNA (228 nucleotides) under uncultured bacterium. RNAcentral describes it as "partial 16S ribosomal RNA". It matches the Rfam family "Bacterial small subunit ribosomal RNA", at positions 118 to 346 of the family's 1533-position model. The record is from RNAcentral.